RNAcentral lists this ribosomal RNA (430 nucleotides) under Dermacentor sp. Urumqi-14. Its description in RNAcentral is "partial 16S ribosomal RNA". The stretch from base 285 to 430 matches the Rfam family "Bacterial large subunit ribosomal RNA", at positions 2473 to 2619 of the family's 2925-position model. The record is from RNAcentral. Lineage: Eukaryota; Metazoa; Arthropoda; Arachnida; Ixodida; Ixodidae.
CUUGAUCUGAGUUAGACCGGGCUCUGCUGAUGAUUUUGUUUAGUUAGCUGAGUGGAAUUACAGGGAAAAGUUUUUUUAAAUUUAAUAAUGAAAGUUAUUUUAAUUUGUGAAGAAACAAUUAUGUAAAUUAAAGACAAGAAGACCCUAAGAAUUUGUGAAUUUUUAAUUUUGUAUAAAUUGUUUAUGUAAAUAAAAUUCUUAAUUGGGGCAAUUAAAAAAUAUAUUAAACAUUUUUUAUAUAAAAUGAUCCAUUAUUAAUGAUUAUAUGAUAAAAAUACUCUAGGGAUAACAGCGUAAUAAUUUUUGAUAGAUCUUAUAGACAAAAUAGUUUGCGACCUCGAUGUUGGAUUAGGAUACUUCUUUAAUGGAGAUGUUAAAGAAAGAAGUUUGUUCAACUUUUAAAUUCCUACUUGAUCUGAGUUCAGACCGG